UUUCUGGUUUUGCUGCUGGGAUCAUCCCAAGGCCAAGUAUUCCAGCCUCGUGAGGUCAAUGUGAUGGAAGAAGAAGAGAUUAUUAUUAGUUGUCAUCAGAAUGUUACAAGCAUGGAUACAAUGUUUUGGUACAAAAUGCUCCGGGAUGGUGGGAUAGAGUUCCUUGCACUUGGGUAUGAUGAAACUAAGAAUGCUGGAUCAUUUAUGGUAACAUUCAAUCUGAAUGAGAGAACCACAGAGUUGAAGAAGACACAAGCGGAGCCUGAAGAUGCUGCCACAUAUUACUGUGCAGUGAGAGACACAGUGUUAUUAGAUGGUGUAACAGCUAAACACAAACUAGGUACAUUCAAACCUUACAGACAGACUGCACGAAGAAAGGAAACAUCUGUCCCUGAACAAAUUACUUUCACAAUAGUCAAGAAUUUACAUUUGUUUCAUGAUUUAAAGUUCUAG
This is a non-coding RNA of Pelobates fuscus (common spadefoot toad), 453 nucleotides long. The record is from the annotation of a RefSeq genome assembly. NCBI's taxonomy places the organism in Eukaryota, Metazoa, Chordata, Amphibia, Anura, Pelobatidae.